CGGGAAGGCGUGUUCUUCCCUUCGGUCACACUCCCUUCCAGAACUUCUUGGAGCAAGAAUUAAACACGGUCGAGGGGAGCCCUUCCGCGCCUCUUGUCCCUCCGCCCUGCGGACCGAGCGCCUUCCGCACGCGGCUCCGCGAGUCCGAGGCGGCCGCCGCGGGCACCCGCCCAGCCCCGGGCGUCGCCUAGCAACCGGGCCGCCCGCGGGGAGACACCGCCUUCGUGUGGCCCCGGAAGUGACGGAGCGCCAGGCCCCGCCCCGGCAGAGGCGGAAGUGGAGCCGCCCGGGCCUCUCGCGUUCCCGGGGGACCUCGGCCCUGCGGUGCGCCUGGGCCCAUGGCCGCCUACUCCUACCGCCCGGGCCCCGGGGCCGGCCCAGCUGGAGGCGCGGCGCUGCCGGACCAGAGCUUCCUGUGGAACGUCUUCCAGAGGGUUGAUAAAGACAGGAGCGGAGUGAUCUCGGACAACGAGCUUCAGCAAGCACUGUCCAAUGGCACAUGGACUCCAUUUAAUCCAGUGACUGUCAGGUCAAUCAUAUCCAUGUUUGACCGAGAGAACAAGGCUGGCGUGAACUUCAAUGAGUUCACUGGCGUCUGGAAGUACAUCACAGACUGGCAGAACGUCUUCCGCACCUAUGACAGGGACAACUCUGGGAUGAUUGACAAGAACGAGCUCAAGCAAGCACUCUCAGGUUUUGAUACAGGCUAUGCAAUCGUUUAUCAUUUGUGAAAUGGAGUGGUGUGACAUGCACAUUGAGAAUGUGAUGGCUUUGGAAGCAGUUUCACGUGAAUAAGGGAAAAUAAAACGUCCGGCAGCUUAUAAUUCAUGAUACAUCACAACACACAGCAAGACGAUCACAUACUUGUAGGAGAUGAUUCUGUAAGUGGCAAUACCAGUUGCUUGCCUCAGGCACAGCGAUACUAGGCGUUCAGGCUGCCAUUCUCAAGUGCAUGUCAGCCCAAGUGUGCCGUGCCACCAGGGGUGUCUGCCCAGCCUUGCCAGGGUGGGUCAGUGGGCCUUCUGAUGCUGGUGUGUGGGUCUGAGAGGGUGUUGGGGUUUUGUGUGUGUGGAGGGAACACGCACAUGGAAGACUUGUCCAAGGCUUGUGGGAGUUACACCCAGAUUCUGGUGUGUUUGGGAUGAUCUCACUCAGCCCUCCGUUUACUGGGGCCCUAUUACAAAACUCCUGCUACAUUUUGCUUGAAAGACUGCUUAUGAAUACCUUCUAGAAAAAAAAAUCAGGCAAGUUAGUUUAUAAUGUACUAUUUUUUCUAUAAUGUACUAUGUUAUUAUAAUGUACUAAUGAACUUGUAGGUAUUUUGAGUUUUAAUAAUACAAAGUACAUCUUAAUUCUCAUGUUAACGUGUUGUUAACUUCUACCCCUUUUCCUUUGGGCAUGCACUUUUUGACUGUCUUCUCUUUCUUUUUCCUUUCUUUCCUUAUGAAUUCCUGUGGUGGUCAGUUAGAGGUUCUGGGACUCCAUAGGAAGUUUGUGUUCUCAACUCACUCACUAGGUGUGGGUCAAGAUUAGGGCAGGACUUGACCUCAGGUUCUCUGCAUUGAGACUGGGAACCCAGCUGACUUUGCUCUGCCCUUAGACAGGGGAACGGGUAGGGACAUAUGGAAAGGAUGGUGGCAGCCCUCUACAGAGAGUGGUCCUGGAGCUGGAAGGAGCUGGAGGCCUGACUGGGCCGAGGACAGCUUGGGAGGAACCUGGGUCCUGUGAAUUACAUCCAGACAAGUGACCUCAGGUGUCAGGGAACACGGCACUUUCUAACGUUGUCAGGCCCAGAGCCCUCUCUUUCCUUCGUGCCCGUGGCCCACUGGGUCCUUAGAGCUCACGGUGGGAGCUCUGAGGCGGGCAGUGCCCCGGCCUCUCUGGCCUCUGAGUCCCUACUAUGGCUUCAGGGUCAUGGAGGUCAUGUGGCAAGGAAUACAAGACCUGUGUGGUGUUAGCCCAGCAUGCUUUAUUCUGCAUCCCUGGAAGGUGUGGACGUUAGCUCACCAAAUCAAUGCUGUGGACCCACCCUAAAAAUUAGUAGCCCAUUUGCGUUAGGGUCCCGGCAGGUCCACAAGCAGCCCCCACCCUUUUCAUGCCUUUGGCUGGUUAUAGACACGGGUUGGUGUCCUGUCCCAGGUCUGUCCCUUGCUGCAGUUUCUGUCCCUUGAAGAGUAGUUACUGGUUAGCGUCCAGGUUUGUGAAGAUGUGCUGUCGUAUGGGGGUGCUGGGAAUAGGCAGUUGGUGACUCGUGGGGUCUUCAGGCCAGCCAGGCCUCCAGCUCCUUCCAGCCCCAGGACCACUCUGUAGAGGGCUGUCACCAUCCCUCCCAUACAACUAACAAUCCUGUGCUUGUUAGUUGUCAGGAGAGAACCUCACUCUCCUAAGGUCAGGGUGUGGCCCUGUGGCCCGCACGUCAGGUCCAGCAGGGGCUGAUGCUCACGGGGGUCACAAGCCAGGGGAGCUGCACACAGAGGGCACCUCCGUUUCUUUUCUUCCAUUUAAAUGAAGUAUAGUUGACAUAAAUGUUAUGUUAGUUUCAGGCCUACAACAUGGAGAUUCGACAGCGCUCUCCGUUAGCACUCACCACGACUAGUGCAGUUGCCAUCUGUCACCAUAUGGUGUUGUCACAGUAUUAUUAUUGACUCUGUUCCCUAGGCUGUACUUUCAUCGCUGGACUUACUGUUUUAUCAUCUGAAGUUUGUACUUCUUAAUCCCCUUCACCCAUUUCUCCCAUCCCCCUACCCCCUCCUCUCUGGCCACCACCGGUUCUCUGUACUUACGAGUCUGUUUCUAUUUUGUUUCUUCAUUUGUUUUAUUAUUAGAUCCCACAUAUAAGUGAAAUCAUCUGGUAUUGGUCUUUCUCUGACUUAUUUUUUAGCAUAAUGCACUCUAGGUCCAUCCAUAUUGUUGCCAAUGGCAAGCGCUCAUCCUUUUUUAUGGCUGCCUAAUAUUCCGGUGUGUGCAUGCGCACACUACCUCUUUAUCCAUCCAUCAGUCCGUUACUUGGGCUGCUUCCAUAUCCUGGCUAUUGUAGAUAAUGCUGCAGUGAACGUGGGGGUGCAAAUAUCUUUUCGUAUCAGUGUGUUUGUUUUCUUUGGGUAAAUACCCAGUAGUAGGAUUAUUGGAUCAUGUGGUAGCUCUAUUUUUAACUUUUUGAGGAACGUCCAUACUGAUUCAAGGGUGGCUGCACCAGUGUGCAUUCCCACCAACAGUGCACGAGGGUUUCUUGUCUCCACAUCCUUGCCAACAUGUGGCAUUUCUAGUCUUUUUGAUACCAGCCCUUCUGACAGGUGUGAGCCACCUCAUUGUGGUUUUGAUUUGCAUUUCCAGAGGGCACAUCCUCUUAAUUUACGAGGGUGGGGUUAUCAUGACAUGGAUUUUCACUGAAGAAAAUUCUUAGAGAAGAGUCUGCUCUCAGAGUUUGCUUCUUAUGUAAAUGUCUCUUUUAUAGGUUGUUUGUUCAUCAUUCAUUUUUCUAGUCUGACUUCUGUUGGUUUUGUUCUCGCUACGAUAAUAUUGAGGACCGGGGAAAUUGGAAGCUAAUCCCAGGGAUGAUAGAACUUGCUUACGUGGUCUGCAGAGAUUGUGGAUGUCUGGGCGGGAGACUGCCACAGCGAUGGCCAUCAUCUGCUGUCUACGCCCUGGAUGAGCUCAGCCCUGACCAGCCUGGGCCUCUUCCUUACCUGUCCACAGGCACAGUCAGGGAUCCUGUCUUCUACUCAGCUGGCAGGGAAGGGGGCCCUGGAUUUAAGUCACAGAUGGAUAGAGUAUGCUGACCACUCUGGAAGAUGAUAGGUGUACAUACAUCCUCGCAAAGAUUCCAACAGGACGGAAAACCGGUAAAAAUACUUUGGCCCCUGGAUCUUGUCUCCUGAAUAAGGUACCGGCUCUCUGACCAGUUUCACGACAUCCUCAUUCGCAAGUUCGACAGACAAGGACGGGGGCAGAUCGCAUUUGACGACUUCAUCCAGGGCUGCAUCGUCUUGCAGAGGUUGACCGAUAUAUUCAGGCGUUACGAUACGGAUCAGGACGGCUGGAUUCAAGUGUCAUAUGAACAGUAUCUGUCCAUGGUCUUCAGCAUCGUAUAGCACUGGCCUUUGCAAA
RNA transcript from Mirounga angustirostris (Northern elephant seal), 4107 nucleotides. It is a transcript of the gene named programmed cell death 6, with no coding region annotated. The transcript is spliced from 9 exons. The record is from RefSeq and is a predicted model, not a curated record. Lineage: Eukaryota; Metazoa; Chordata; Mammalia; Carnivora; Phocidae.